This 502-nucleotide ribosomal RNA is filed under the name uncultured bacterium. Its description in RNAcentral is "bacterial SSU rRNA". It matches the Rfam family "Bacterial small subunit ribosomal RNA", at positions 25 to 518 of the family's 1533-position model. The record is from RNAcentral.
CAGGAUGAACGCUAGCGACAGGCUUAACACAUGCAAGUCGAGGGGCAGCGUGGGAGUGGCAACACUCCCGACGGCGACCGGCGCACUGGUGAGUAACACGUAUGCAACCUGCCCCCUACAGGGGAAUAACCCAGAGAAAUUUGGCCUAAUGCCCCGUAGUCCGCGCCGCCGCAUGACGGUGCGGGGAAAGCUCCGGCGGUAGGGGAUGGGCAUGCGGCGCAUUAGCUUGUUGGCGGGGCGACGGCCCACCAAGGCGACGAUGCGUAGGGGUUCUGAGAGGAAGGUCCCCCACACUGGUACUGAGACACGGACCAGACUCCUACGGGAGGCAGCAGUGAGGAAUAUUGGUCAAUGGGCGAUGGCCUGAACCAGCCCAAGUCGCGUGCGGGAGGACGGCCCUACGGGUUGUAAACCGCUUUAGCCGGGGAGUAACGGUCCGCACGAGUGCGGGAUUGAGAGUACCCGGAGAAUAAGCAUCGGCUAACUCCGUGCCAGCCGCCGC